AAAUGUGGUGAUGAUGGGCAAAACGUUCAACUGCUCUGAGUUGGCUGAAUGAAACUAGCCUUUCUGAACAUGU
RNAcentral lists this small nucleolar RNA (73 nucleotides) under Jaculus jaculus (lesser Egyptian jerboa). RNAcentral describes it as "Small nucleolar RNA Z40 (ENSJJAG00000007897.1)". It matches the Rfam family "Small nucleolar RNA Z40". Rfam says of the family: Z40 is a member of the C/D class of snoRNA which contain the C (UGAUGA) and D (CUGA) box motifs. Most of the members of the box C/D family function in directing site-specific 2'-O-methylation of substrate RNAs. Lineage: Eukaryota; Metazoa; Chordata; Mammalia; Rodentia; Dipodidae. The record is from Rfam by way of RNAcentral.